Molecule: ribosomal RNA, 1048 nt
Filed under: Salmonella enterica
Lineage: Bacteria; Pseudomonadati; Pseudomonadota; Gammaproteobacteria; Enterobacterales; Enterobacteriaceae
Also listed under: 2 other names
Description: partial 16S ribosomal RNA
Rfam family: Bacterial small subunit ribosomal RNA
Source: RNAcentral
AAAUUGAAGAGUUUGAUCAUGGCUCAGAUUGAACGCUGGCGGCAGGCCUAACACAUGCAAGUCGAACGGUAACAGGAAGCAGCUUGCUGCUUUGCUGACGAGUGGCGGACGGGUGAGUAAUGUCUGGGAAACUGCCUGAUGGAGGGGGAUAACUACUGGAAACGGUGGCUAAUACCGCAUAACGUCGCAAGACCAAAGAGGGGGACCUUCGGGCCUCUUGCCAUCAGAUGUGCCCAGAUGGGAUUAGCUUGUUGGUGAGGUAACGGCUCACCAAGGCGACGAUCCCUAGCUGGUCUGAGAGGAUGACCAGCCACACUGGAACUGAGACACGGUCCAGACUCCUACGGGAGGCAGCAGUGGGGAAUAUUGCACAAUGGGCGCAAGCCUGAUGCAGCCAUGCCGCGUGUAUGAAGAAGGCCUUCGGGUUGUAAAGUACUUUCAGCGGGGAGGAAGGUGUUGUGGUUAAUAACCGCAGCAAUUGACGUUACCCGCAGAAGAAGCACCGGCUAACUCCGUGCCAGCAGCCGCGGUAAUACGGAGGGUGCAAGCGUUAAUCGGAAUUACUGGGCGUAAAGCGCACGCAGGCGGUCUGUCAAGUCGGAUGUGAAAUCCCCGGGCUCAACCUGGGAACUGCAUUCGAAACUGGCAGGCUUGAGUCUUGUAGAGGGGGGUAGAAUUCCAGGUGUAGCGGUGAAAUGCGUAGAGAUCUGGAGGAAUACCGGUGGCGAAGGCGGCCCCCUGGACAAAGACUGACGCUCAGGUGCGAAAGCGUGGGGAGCAAACAGGAUUAGAUACCCUGGUAGUCCACGCCGUAAACGAUGUCUACUUGGAGGUUGUGCCCUUGAGGCGUGGCUUCCGGAGCUAACGCGUUAAGUAGACCGCCUGGGGAGUACGGCCGCAAGGUUAAAACUCAAAUGAAUUGACGGGGGCCCGCACAAGCGGUGGAGCAUGUGGUUUAAUUCGAUGCAACGCGAAGAACCUUACCUGGUCUUGACAUCCACGGAAGUUUUCAGAGAUGAGAAUGUGCCUUCGGGAACCGUGAGACAGG